This 497-nucleotide ribosomal RNA is filed under the name uncultured bacterium. Its description in RNAcentral is "partial 16S ribosomal RNA". It matches the Rfam family "Bacterial small subunit ribosomal RNA", at positions 28 to 507 of the family's 1533-position model. The record is from RNAcentral.
GAUGAACGCUGGCGGCGUGCCUGAUACAUGCAAGUCGAGCGAACGGACGAGAAGCUUGCUUCUCUGAUGUUAGCGGCGGACGGGUGAGUAACACGUGGAUAACCUACCUAUAAGACUGGGAUAACUUCGGGAAACCGGAGCUAAUACCGGAUGAUAUUUUGAACCGCAUGGUUCAAAAGUGAAAGACGGUCUUGCUGUCACUUAUAGAUGGAUCCGCGCUGCAUUAGCUAGUUGGUAAGGUAACGGCUUACCAAGGCAACGAUGCAUAGCCGACCUGAGAGGGUGAUCGGCCACACUGGAACUGGGACACGGUCCAGACUCCUACGGGAGGCAGCAGUAGGGAAUCUUCCGCAAUGGGCGAAAGCCUGACGGAGCAACGCCGCGUGAGUGAUGAAGGUCUUCGGAUCGUAAAACUCUGUUAUUAGGGAAGAACAUAUGUGUAAGUAACUGUGCACAUCUUGACGGUACCUAAUCAGAAAGCCACGGCUAACUACGUG